Acanthosepion pharaonis is the source of this 112-nucleotide non-coding RNA. NCBI's taxonomy places the organism in Eukaryota, Metazoa, Mollusca, Cephalopoda, Sepiida, Sepiidae. The record is from the annotation of a GenBank genome assembly.
UACGGUUACAUCAGAUUAAAACACUUGUUCACGCACGAUCAAGGAAGUUAAGCAACGUCAAGCCUGGUUAGUACUUAAGUGGGUGGCCGCUUGGGAAUACGAAGUGCGGUAA